Long non-coding RNA from Oncorhynchus masou masou (cherry salmon), 983 nucleotides. RefSeq lists it as uncharacterized. The transcript is spliced from 2 exons. The record is from RefSeq and is a predicted model, not a curated record. NCBI's taxonomy places the organism in Eukaryota, Metazoa, Chordata, Actinopteri, Salmoniformes, Salmonidae.
CUCUCUCUGUCUCUCUCUCUUUCUCUGGUUUCGGUUCCGGGUUGGAGCGAGCGGUCACAUCUACACUUCGGUCCGCAGGUGGCGAAUCGCAUCUCUGCAUGUCUGGCAGACAUAUCAGUGUGGAUGACGGAUCACCACCUCAAGCUGAACCUCGGCAAGACGGAACUGCUCUUCCUCCCGGGGAAGGACUGCCCGUUCCAUGAUCUCGCCAUCACGGUUGACAACUCCAUUGUGUCCUCCUCCCAGAGCGCUAAGAACCUUGGCGUGAUCCUGGACAACACCCUGUCGUUCUCAACUAACAUCAAGGCGGUGGCCCGUUCCUGUAGGUUCAUGCUCUACAACAUCCGCAGAGUACGACCCUGCCUCACACAGGAAGCGGCGCAGGUCCUAAUCCAGGCACUUGUCAUCUCCCGUCUGGAUUACUGCAACUCGCUGUUGGCUGGGCUCCUUGCCUGUGCCAUUAAACCCCUACAACUCAUCCAGAACGCCGCAGCCCGUCUGGUGUUCAACCUUCAAUAUCAAUAUUGUCAACAUACUCAAUAGAAUACAUAGAGAGAACGUGUUCAGAAUACAGGGAUCAAUGAAAGAAAUAUAUGCAUAUUCUCUCAGUUUCAGCAACAAUUGUCCGAAAAAAAUAAUCAAAUUGUCACGACUUCGGCCGAAGUCGUUGCCUCUCCUUGUUCGGGCGGUGCUCGGCGUUCGACGUCACCGGUCUUCUAGCCAUCAUUGAUCCUUUUUUCAUUUUCCAUUGGUUUUGUCUUGUCUUCCCACACACCUGUUUUCAAUCCCAUUCAUUACCUGUUGUGUAUUUAACCCUCUGUUUCCCCUCAUGUCUUUGUCAGAGAUUGUUUUAUUGUCAGUGUAGUGUGAUUGUUGUAUAGGUGCGCGCCGGGUCCUCGUACCCAUGUUUGUUUGUUUAUGUACAUUUAGUGUUAUGGAGCAAACUCCGUGGACUUCAUUAAAAGACUCCAUUUUACACUCCA